RNAcentral lists this small RNA (716 nucleotides) under Pan troglodytes (chimpanzee). RNAcentral describes it as "retained intron". Lineage: Eukaryota; Metazoa; Chordata; Mammalia; Primates; Hominidae. The record is from RNAcentral.
CUGUGCAGAAAGAACAUGAGGCCUCUUUGAGUGAUGUUAUAGAAUUACAAUGGCAUCUUGAAGAUAAAGCUAAUCAACUACAACAUUUUGAAAAACAAAAGACAGAGUUAGAAGAAGCAAAUGCAAAGAUUCAAGCAGACAUAGACUACAUGAAUGAACAUGGCCCUCUACUGGACUCUAAGCAGAAUCAGGAACUUCAAGAUCUGAAGAACCAUUAUAAAAAAAAAAUGGAGGUAAUGGACCUACACAGAAAAGUUAAUGAAGAACUUGAAGAAGCUUUAGAAGCCUGUGAAAAUGCCAGAUUGAAGGCUCAGCAAAUUAAAGAAGAGAUUGAUAAGGAUAUUUACCAGGAUGAAAAAACCAUAGAGGCCUACAAGUAAGAAUUUUUUGCAAACACUAAUUAUAGCAUUUAGAAAUUAAAUGUUAAGUAAAAAUGUAAUGUAUAUUUCUAUAUAGAAAAUUUAGAUAAAGAGAAAAAUAAAAUUUUAAAUUAUUCAUACCUGUCUUAUCACCAAGUUUAUAUGUAAAUAAAAAGAUAUAUAUUUCAUAUAUGUAAAAUUAUUUGUGCAUAAAUCUCUAAAGUACUAUAUUUCUGUGUCAUCUUAAAGCUCUUCAUAUAUAUUGCAAAAUUGCCUGAGGACAUGUUAUAACAAUAAAUAUCCCUACUAUGUGUGCAAAAGUAACUAUUUUAAAAAAAUCCAGCAUGCGAUAUGAUU